Long non-coding RNA from Musca domestica (house fly), 5387 nucleotides. RefSeq lists it as uncharacterized. The record is from RefSeq and is a predicted model, not a curated record. NCBI's taxonomy places the organism in Eukaryota, Metazoa, Arthropoda, Insecta, Diptera, Muscidae. The transcript has 5 exons.
UAAUUGUAUAACUUUUAUAUGAAGGUAUUCGCUGAUUUCAGCUAUUUCCAGGAUCUUGGUCACAUUUUUCAAUUUAUUUUGCCCUUAUUUGGCAUCUUAGCUUCUAAGCCUUUAUUGAGAUUUCAACGAACGGCCGCACACACAGACGGAUUAAUUGACAUAUGAUUUUACCCUGAUCAAUUAGAUGGAUUAAAACUAAAUAUCUAACAACAUGGUCUUCUAAAAGCUACGAAUUCAUAGUUACUAUUCAUUUGGAAAAUAUUGCUAAAACCUUUAGCUGAACCCAGUGUGCUUCACUACCCCUUUUGCUUUUAUAUGCAUUAAAAGUUUUAUAUACGCAUAUUUUGUGGUCUUUAAAUAGAAAUAAAACAAAUCCAAAAAAUACCAUUUCGUAGGAACAUGAAAAAAUAAAAAAAUCGGAAAACUACCAUUUAAAUGAAAACCGUUAUAUGUGGACUAUACGAAUACGGGGACCUGCAUACGAAUUUUUUUGUCAUAGGCUGUAGUGCUCAUUACGAACUUCAAAUACGAAAUUUUUUACAAUUGCGGUGAAUAAUGUCGUAAAAAUCAUGAAAAUAUGGAGUGUCGUGGGCUAUACGGAGACUUGGACCUCCAUACGAAAUGUUUUUCCAUAAAUUGUAGCACCCAUUUAGAUCUUUCAAAUUUGAAACGAUUCCGGUGAAUAAUGUUGCUGUUAUAUGGGGGCUUAACGAAGACAUGAACCUGCAUAAAAUGUUGCUGAAAUCAUCAAAAUACCGAUCAUCGGGGGGUACCGUUAUAUGGGGGCUAUACGAAGACGUGGACUUGCAUACAAAAAUUUUUGUCAUAGGCUGUAGUACACAUUACGAACUUCAAAUAAUUCCGGUAAAUAAUGUAGUUAAAAUCAUGAAAAUACCGAAUAUCGGGGGUUACCGUUUUAUGGUGCUAUACGAAAACGUAAACCGACAUGGCCCAUUUACGAAAUUACUUUCCCUAUUGGUAAUCUAUGCAUGUAUGCAAAAUUGUACCCUUCAGACAAACAGACGGACACCGCUAGAUCAUCUUAGAAUUUUACGCUGAUCCAUAAUAUAUAUACCUUGUAGGGUCUAUUAUAAAUAUUUCGUGGAGUUACAAACGGAAUGACAAUAAUAUACCCUCCAUAGAAUGGUUGAGGAUAUAAAAAUAAGGUGUCAUCGUUUUAUAACAGUUAGGGACCCCAUAAAGUAUGUAAAUGAGCGUGCUCCUAGUCUCAAUUCGGUCGUAUGUGCCAAAUUCCUUCCCAUUUGGGCAAAUAUUAGACGUUUGGUGCACAAUAAAAGGUAAAUCGGACGAAGUUAUAUAUGGGAGCUACAUCCAAAUCUGAACCGAUCUCGGUAAAAUUAAGCAAAGGUAUUUCUGAGCUGCAUUUGAUAUAUUUCCCCAAAUAUUGUUGUUGCAUAGUGCAUAUUACGGCGUCGGUGGACAAAAAUAACAAAUCGGAUGAACAAUAUAUAUGGGAGCUAUAGCUAUAUCUGAACCGAUUUCGAUCAAAUGUGGCAUACAUAUUUUCAGGCCUAAUUUGGGUGUAUAUGCAAAAUUCCAUACAAUUCGGUCUGAUAUUACACGUUUGGUGCACAAUAAAAGGCAAAUCGGACGAAGGUAUAUAUGGGAGCUAUAUCUAAAUUUUGACCGAUUAUCUCCAAUUUCAAUAGGGUUCGUCCUUGGGCCAAACGAAAGACCUUUGCAAAAUUUCAUCUGGAUCGGGCAAUAAAUGCGACCUGUACUUUGUUUACAAAAAUACAUGGACAGACGGACGGACGGACAUGCAUAAAUCGACUCAGAAUGUGAUUCUAUGCAGAUCAUCAAAAGGAACUAUGGGUCUAUCUCGUUUCCUUCUGCCUGUUACAAACAAAUGCACAAAGACAUAAUACCCUGACUACCUUGUGGUGUAGGGUAUAAAAAAGUACUGGUUAGGGGUUUAAAGGUUAGUCAUUAUUAUAAAGGUUUUAGCAUCAUUUUCAAAUCAAAAGUAAUUAUGAAUUAGAGGACCAUAUUAUAAGGUAUUUAGUUUUGUCCACAUAAUGGCAUGUUAAAAUCCAUAAUGGUAAAUAUUUAGAUUAAUCUUAGUACCAUUUUACUCCCCGCUGACAAAAAACUGACUACGGGGAUGAUCCCCUAAAAAAAGAAAAAUAAAUAUGGAAGAAGGAAAGAAAAAGUUACGGUGCAGGGCCUAAAUAACCCAGUACCGGCGGGUGUUUGUGAUCCAACCACGAGUCACACCCUGUCGUCAUCCAACGAUCGUAUGCAAAUUUCUCCCGUAGAUGUGGGUGUCUUGGCAUCUGUGGUCGAAGGUAUUGCUACAAGCACGCAGCCUUCGAGCAACAAAACAGACAGAGGGUCUGAGGAACUCAGGGGAGGCAUACACUCGACCCAGUCUUCAACGACAGGUAGCGCCUCAGACUCCGAGUCCGACAGCAGUGGCCACAAUACUACCAUCCUGCGAAUCCCUACAAAGGAAGAGACGAUAGAAGAAGUGAGUGAUAGCUUGGCGAAGCUCACAACCAGAAUGAAACGGCGAAGGCUCAAAAGGCAACAUAAUAGCAAAAACGCCAAGGCACAGGAUGUUGUAAAGGGGCUGCAAAUACUCCCCCACUCCGUUGUAGGCACGGAAGAGGACCCCUGAGAACAGAGCAGUGCGAGGCCGUCGAAAAAGAAAAAGAGCUUCCCACCUGCAGAUGCUCCGGGCAAACUAAGUCAAGAACCUCGCAAAGGAGGCUGUAACAGGAAUCCUUUCGACGACCGUGAAAUCGACUGCUAAACCAGGGGGUUUCCAACAGAAGAGGAAACGGACCGAGUAAACGGGUACGAUGCCGCCUUCUUACGCAAAGACAGCCAAAAAAGAGUUGAGGGACGAAAUGCAUUAUGCAUUGAUCGAUACCAACAAAGGUUCAGGCAGCUUACAUAAAGACCAUUUGGAAGCAUUAGAUGAAAUGGUCAACAAAAUCUUGGAUCACAUCAUGGAAGGUGGAGAUCCAAUACCUAUCGUGAGCAGCGGCAUGAAGAAUAACAAAAUGUUCUUCAAGUUUGCUGCGCAUGCCAACACUGGCGCCCUAAAGGGGAUUAUCGAGAAGAUAAAAAAAACCAUGGGAAAACGGCAACCUCAAGUUGGUGAGGUGAAACGAAAUUCCUCGCCUAACUAAAACGACGGUUUACGUCAGAGGAUUUGGCAGCAAAUUCGAGACGGAACGUAUGCUCAAAGUCUUUGGAGUAAGACUUUUGACGUGAAGAGGUGGGAAGUCUUUCACAGGGAGAAGAAGGAGGAUGACCCUCUCCUUGUGAUUGGAGUUGACAAUCUCUCCAUGGCCAGUCUGACAAAGACUAAGUGCCAUGCCCUUCUAUGUCUCGAAGGCUGUCAGGUUCAAAAAUAAUAAGGUGAGGAUCGGAGACGAGGACACCAAGUGUAGCAGCGUGGAGGAGAAAGAAGACCCACCGAGCAACACAGAACAGGGAGUCGGUGACAAUAUUACCGACUCUCAAGAAGCCCAUCUACUGGAGGACCAAUGAUCGAGGUCAUCCAGGUCAACCUUCAUCGGAGCGAGACGGCAACCUUGGCUCUGAUGAAACUAAUAAAUUCAGGGUUGUCAACAUCGGACGCAACAGUACUGAGGCAGGGGAAUGGAAACAUAUACCUAGCGUCUAUAUACCAACCGUUCGACAUGACGACAUUACCACCUACGUCGGAACUGCAGCUACUGAAGUUGAACACGCCUACAGCCGAUGACUACAUUGAAAAUUUAUCAAACAUGUGGAAGCUGAAACACUUACAAAAAUAACUUUAUCGGCAAGUAACUCUAAUUCUUAGUUAUAUUCCAUUAACUAUUACCAUUUAUGUACUAUUUCUUUGCAUUUCAGAACACCGUAUUACUCAUGAAGUGUUGAGCAUAUUGACACCACGGCAUAUCGAGAUAUUAUUUCAGGGCUUGGCAGUAGGAGAUAUGGCGAUAUUUCAAAAGAAUUUAACACGGUGGCAACUAGAAUCCAACAAUGCUGAAAAAACACCUAAAACACAUACCAGUUUGGAAUCCACAGUUUGUGGUUUUGUCAAAAAACCAGUUCCAGCAGUUAAAGAUGUGCUGAUGGAUUCACAGAAUGGGAAAUUGCUUUUAAGGUAUUAUGCAACGCACAUUUUUUAACGAUGAACAGCGCAACUUACUCAUCAACACACUUGCAAAGUAUAUUGAGGCUAAGGGAUAUCCUUGUUCACUUGCGGAUAGUGAUGAGAUAGAAAAUCAAAUUUGCUUGCUAUUUGCAACGGAGUCGAAGGUAAGCGCUGUAUUUAUAUGCCAACAUAAUUGUCUUUUAAUAUAAUCUUUAAAUUCAAUUUCAUUUACGAUUAUUACACUUCAGAAAAAAGGGGUAGGUUGUAUAAUAAAAUAUACAAUUUAAAACGAUACACCAAAAGUCUAACGAAGGAGAAAGAACCUAUUUGUGGAUCUGUGAAUGAAACGAUCCAAAGCAAAAAAAAUUCAUAUAGGAAUAUAUCAAUAUUUAUAUAUUAUUUAUUUUUAAAUAUAUAUCAUUAGUUUUUAGUCCCAGAAGCUGAGUCAGAUUUCGCUCUCCGUUGUAUUCGAAACCAAGAUACUACAGCUGACGAAUUCGAUAUUUACUGGAGAAAAUAUUCUCAGCUUAGAUUUUCCCAAAUUGAAAAUUCAGAGAGCACAAAUGACAUUUUGAAAUGUUGGCCGGAGUACAAAAAAGGCCUUCUGGAAUUAAUUUGAUCGAUAUCGAUUUUGUGCUCAAAUACCCUAAAUCCUUUUCUUAUUUUAAAAUGGCCAAUUUACGAGAGAAAAAUUUGACACUUAAUAGCAUGCAAAAUUUCUUCCAAAAUCGUAACUAAUAUCGAUAAAUACGACAAAGAAUCGAAAAUUUUCUUCAUAUUUUGGAAUUUGCACUAUCUUUUUCCACCGCAACAAAGGCUAAUCACUGACAAAACUGGCGCAAAAAAUAAACGGAAGUACUCCAUACCUGAUUCGCAUAAUUAAUUUGCUCUUGUUGUCGAAAACAACAAAGAAUGGAUCUUAAAGUGGAACUGUUGAAACUGCGCAAUACCAAUAUCCAGCCUCUACUGCUUGUUACAAGAGAACCGCAUAGUGUCAAACAAAUACGCAUUUAUUUCGAUGGAAUACGUUUUCCAAUUUUAAAAGUUUUAACGGAUGUAGAUUUAUUGUUUAAAAUAUUCUUUGUAUUUAAUUUACAAUUUCCUGAUGAAUCAUAUAUUUUUUUACAACUUUAUUCAAACCUUUUUUAUGAAAUGAAAUCAAAAAUAUCUAUGAUACAAAACGAAAUUUUAAAUUUAAAUUUAGCGUAAAAGCUAAAAUUAUAUAUGUAAUCAUUUAAUUCCCUUAAUAUAUAAAUAUCACAUACAAUUA